GUCUACGGCCAUGCCACCCUGAACAUGCCCGAUCUUGUCUGAUUUUGUAAGCUAAGCAGGGUUGGGCCUGGUUGGUAUUUGGAUGGGAGACCACCUAGGAAGACUGGGUACUGUAGGUG
RNAcentral lists this ribosomal RNA (119 nucleotides) under Pteropus alecto (black flying fox). Lineage: Eukaryota; Metazoa; Chordata; Mammalia; Chiroptera; Pteropodidae. The record is from RNAcentral.